This 98-nucleotide ribosomal RNA is filed under the name Plasmodium vivax (malaria parasite P. vivax). Its description in RNAcentral is "large subunit ribosomal RNA fragment F". It matches the Rfam family "Bacterial large subunit ribosomal RNA", at positions 2451 to 2548 of the family's 2925-position model. Lineage: Eukaryota; Apicomplexa; Aconoidasida; Haemosporida; Plasmodiidae. The record is from RNAcentral.
AACGGUAAGAAGGUUCGCCGGGGAUAACAGGUUAUAGUAUAUAUAGAGCUCAAAUCUUUAUAUACUAUUGGCACCUCCAUGUCGUCUCAUCGCAGCCU